AUAUAUAUGUUUGUAUGAAAAAUUGAUAUAGAAUCAUUUAUUAUAAGAUAAAGUUGUCAAAAUCCAACUCUAAUUUCAAUGAUCAAACACUUGCUUUAUUAGCCUCCUUACAAAUAAAUAGAUACAAGUUCCUAGAGCUGUUUGAUAAUGGAGCUUUUUUUAAACUACUAGCUUAAUACGUUAGAUUGAUCUGUGAUUCCAAUGUUUCAGCAAAAUAAACAUUAUUUUUUGGAAUCAGCUGGAAUUUUUGUAAAGUAAAUGAAGCUGAAAAUAUAUUUAAAAUGAUGCUUUUAUGUACAAACCAUAUAAAAAACAAUAAAUUAUUAGUAUGUAAAUAUUAAAAUCAUUAUUGAUUAUAUAAUUUAUUUAAUUUACCAUAAAUCAGAAUCGUAUAAAAAUCCAAUCAAUUCGUGUUUGUCUAUUCAGUACUUCCUAAUUAACUAUGAAUUUUGUUUUAAAUCAUACAUGUAACUUUAUAGCUUCUAGUAAUUUAAUUUUUAAAAGUAAUUUUUUUAACAUAUCCAAUAAAAUUUAUCUUAAAAUGACUUUUAAACAAACAUAAAAAACAUAAAACAAUUAACUUAAAUUUGAUUAUAAUUGACUAUACAUGUAAUUGAUUAUUAAAUAUAUUAUUUUUGCAGCUAAAGUUCUUCUAAUUUUAGGAAAUCGUGUACCAAUUGGGCAAAGAAAGAUAACACAAAGAUUUGAUAAUAAUCAUGAAAUAUAAGAUGGUUUGAAGCCUUAUCUUUCAACUAAUUACUGAAAAGAAAGUUGUGGUAUAACAAACAAAAUAAAAUAUUAAUCACAUGUGUGAAAUCUACAAAAUGUGUAAAAUGUAUCAUGAUAGCUUUGAUCUUAAUACGAAUAUUUAGAUAAGGUAUACUUAUGUCUUUUCUCAUCAAUGGACACAAUAAUGAAUUUUAUCAAAGUUAAACUAAUAUGACAUUUUAUGUUAGUAUCUAUCCUACUUAGUUUUUUUUGUAAUACUAAAGAUAUUUCUUCACCUUUUUAGUUAAGGAAUUAAUCAUUUAUGGGGGUGUAUGACUCUCCAUCCUAAUAAGUAUCGUUCUCAGAAAUCAAAUCUUUAACUUUUUGAGAUCUAACGAAAACGUACACUACUACACCAACAACUUUUAGUGUACCCAACAUAAUAUAUCAAAUCAUUAAUAAGUUAAUAACAUCACAUGCUUCAAGCCUUCAACGAUUUAGAAUGUUUGUAAAGGUAUAAGACCCAAAAAAAUUCUUAAACUUAAACCUAUCCUCAUUUAGGACAAAGGAUCUCACUCACAUCUGCAUCAUUUAUUUUAUUUAAUUUUAAUUCGUUAUUCAUUAAUACAUUAUUAAAAGUGAUGAUUUGAUUGCAAUUAUUAAUUCUGAAUUAUCUAAUAAUUUGUCAUUCAUGCAUAUCAAAAUCAUAUUCAUUUAUCACCUAAUAAUCACCUAAAAGACUAGUAAGAACAUCUUAAAUAAAUCCCAAGAUAGAACUUUUCCUCAAAAUACAAAAUUAUAACCAAAUCCAAGAUGCAACUCCAAUUCAAUAAACUCAUUAAAGGGAUAACAACCAUAAAUAAGCAUCUCCAACAUGAUGAAGUCCUUCCGGCCACUACUCUUGUUGAUCUUCUUCUAGAAGGUUUCUUCGUCUCAUCAUGCGUAGAGUUUAAAUAUUUCUCUUAGUUUUGUUUGUUUCUCUGUUAGGAGAAUUUGCAUUAUUGCUUGGUGUCAUAUAGAUACAGAUUAUAGCUUUGUUAGGUAUACAUAUAUGCACAAGUUGUUUAAGAGAUAGUACUAUAAGAGAAAAAAAUAUAUAGAGUGACUCUGUAUGAAUUUCAUACAUUUUUACUGCAUCAUUUAUCAUUUAUGUUUAAUCAUUAUUUACUAUUAAAAAACCUAAUAUAAAUGAAUGACGAAUGAUAUACUGACUGUAUAUAAAUUUAUAUAAAUAAAUAUUAAUUGUUAAUAUAAAGCAUACAAGACUAGAAUAGUUAAUAAAUAGGUUAGUUGUUCAUUUUGUUUGGAAUCUCAUGUAUGGUAGGAGAUCAAACCUACAAAACUGGAACAAUUCAUGAAUAGGUUAGUUAUAUUCACACUUCUUUCCAUAUUUGUUUGGGUGGCAUUGAUAUUUCUUUUAAUUUAAUUUUUUACUUUCUUUCCUUUAUCUUAGCACUAGGUAGAAAGAGUGUUUUUGGGAAUCUCAUUUGAGAAUGUGAGAUUCUAUAUUUGUUCCAAGGUUUGGAAAAAAUAUUGAAGAAAGUAACAUCCUAAAAAUCUUAAAAUGUGAAGGAUGUGAGAAUGGAGUGUUAGAUUCCCAUUGAUGGGAAUGCUGGUUUUUCAUAGAAAUGUCUAUUUAAAAGUAAAAUGACUUUUGUAUUCUUUUUCUACCUUCUUGUUUUUUAGUCAAUGUAUUUUUCAAAAAUAAUUCAUUUUCUAGUAAUGUUUUAUAUGAAUAAAAAAUUGAUCUAACAAGAGAAUGUAACUUAAUUAGGCAUUUGUAACCGUACUGUUACUAUAGACACAAAAAGAUAGAAAAAAUGAACACGGCUUAGAACGAGAGUAACAACUUCUGCACUAUUAUUUAUUAUUAAGGACUCUAUUACAUACUACUAGAUCCAGAGUACAACAAAAUACUUACAAUAAGGAAAAGAUGUAAAUUUGUAGCAUAGAAGGAAGGAGAUGAGAGAAGAAUAUUGAGAAUAGAAGGGAGAUGAGUAGUAUACAAUUCACGCCCAAUUUCCUAUUUCUUUUCUCCUUAUAUUCUUUUUACCUGUCACUGUCUUUACACAAAUUCCUUCAGUAGGGAAUUUGGUUUCUUUUCAUGUGAGUUGUGCUUGUUAAAUGUAAUACAUAAGAGAAUUAAUAGUGUUUACUGAAGCAAAUGUUGUUAAAGGUGUUAUCUUUAACGACGUUUAUUGAAACAAGCACUGUUAAAGGGCAUACUUCAUAUAUUUAACAACACUUUUUCAAUAAGAGUGGUUAAAUGUGUUAUCUUUAACAACGCUUGUUGAAGGAAACGUUGUUAAAGGCAGACUUCAUAUAUUUAACAAUACUUCUUCAAUAAGCGCUGUUAAAUGUGUUCAUAUAUUUAACAUCACUUCUUCGAUAAAUGUUGUUAAUGACUUAUUUUAGUGAGCGAUAAUCUUUUCAAAUUCAAAAACAAAACCUCACACAAUAAUACAUAUCACCUAGUUUAUUAUUUCUCUUACUUUUCUUCUUCUCCACGAGUUACAUUUUUUUUCUUAUGUUUUUAGUUUCUCUCUUCAAUCAAGUUAUUGAUUUUUGGUUUUUCUCUUCAAGCAUAAGGUAAAUCGUUAUCUUAUUUUAACUCAUUUAUUUCUAUCUUCACUAAUAGUGUGAUUUUUAUUUGUUGUGAAGUUAUGCAGCUAUGGUGAAGUUAUCGGUUUUUGGUUUUUCUCUUCAAACAUAAGGUAAAUCGUUAUCUUAUUUUAGCUCAUUUAUUUCUCUAUUUACUAAUAGUGUGAUCUUUAUUUGUUGUGAAGUUAUACAACUAUGGUGUUCUAGGUUUUUGGCUAUGGUGAACAUUGGAGGAGAAUGAAUGAACAAUUUGUGUAAGAUCUCAUUACUCCUAUGUUAUUUUAUAAUAUUGGAAUAUGUUAAAGUUGAAUGUAGUUGAAGUCGUUGGUGAUUUAACAAAUCUAUUGUAAAUGUGGUAGAAUUGGACAUGUUUGUCAUGUGUUUGAUAGAAUGUCUGAGAGAGAUAUUGUCUUAUUUAGAAAGUAGACAUUUAACAACGCUUGCUUCAGUGAAUGCUGUUAAAUGUCUACUUUCUACAGCGCUACAAAAAAAGUUGUUGAAUAUAACCUUGUGUACUACUGUGCUUAUGUAGAAAGCGCGGUUAAAUAACAAUUUUAAGCGUUAUUGUUUUGAUGUUUUGGCGUAGUGAUUUGUCCAUUAGCUCUAACAACUUUUGUCUUUUUCUUCUUUUAGUAGUAUUCUCCCUCCUCACAUGUUGCAUUACUCCCCCCAUCAGAAACAACCUUAUCCUCAAGGUUGAAUGUAGGAUAUUGAUAAACAAUAGUAUCAAAAUCUUCUCAAGUUGCUUCAACAAUAUCAUGUCCUUCCCAUUGAAUUAACACUAGCAACAUAAUUUGAUCUCCUUUAAUAAUAGUUGUUUGUUUCAAAACAUGAAUAUUUUGUAGUUGUGGCCCUUGAUUGUCCAUGAGUAGGGGCAAAGGAUGUAUGCCAUUGGUUCACCUCCUUUAAAAGUUUUCAAUUGGGACACGUGGAAUACAAAAUGGAUUCAGGCAUUUUCAGGGAGUUGUAAUUUGUACGCGACUGACGCAAUCCUUUCUAAUAUUGGAAAAAGACCAAAAUACUUCAUGCCAAGUUUCUGAUUCUUCCUUAGGCUUACUGAAUGUCGUCUAUAAGAUUGUAGCUUCACCCAAACCUUUUGUCCAACACUGAAAUUAAUGUCUCGCCUUUGUUUGUCAGCUUGCAUCUUCAUGCAUUGUUGAGCUUGUUGUAGAUUAGCCUUUAAUUGAGUCAACAACAUGUCCCUUUCAAGUAAAGUAGCUUGAAUAGUUGGGCUGUCAGAGCUAGUGGGAUAAUAUUUAGUUAAAGUGGGUGGUUCUCUGCCAUACACUGCCUGAAAGGGUGUCAUGCCUAAGGGUGGAAAUAGGUCAGGCCAGAUUUUGCCUUAAACAGGCCGAGCUUAUAUAACAUAUAAGAGUCUGGGUCUAGCCUAUUUAAAAAAAAUCGAGGUCUAAACCUAGUUUGUUUACAAGUCUGGUCUAGUCUAUUAGACUAUUUAAAGGUUUGUUCCAGAUUUUCCACUUGCACCAACUUCAUUAUUUUCACUUUCCAUGAUAAAUUUUAAAUAAAAAUAAUUCAUUUAUUAUCUACACAUUCAUUCACUUUGCUUUAAUCCAUGUUGAUAUUGCAGUGAUAUUAGUACAUUACCAUAAUACCAACUUUAACUUUCUAAACCAUCAAUUCCAUACAAAAUUCAUUUGCAUAAUGAAAAGAUUGGUAUUGUAAAUAGAAAAUUAGAACAUUAUUAAACUUCAAUAUGUUUUUGAACCAUCUUAACAGAGUUCUUAACAUAAACAAAACAAAUAUGUUUGUUGCAACAUAAAAUAAACAAUCAUUUAAAGAGUUCAUUUGAAAAACUAAGAAUGACAAGUAAAUAAAACAGUUAGUUGUGCAGAAUGAGUAACUCCACAAGAAAAUUGAGGUUGCACACAAUGUUUGCACUUCUGUAGAAUCAAGGACCUCAUGAAAAAUUCCAACAAACGAGUUAAAAUCUUCAAGUAAAUUUCCUUUUGAUCUUCUUCAACCUCAUGUUCCUUCAAAAUAAAAAUAAAAUAUAUUAAAGAAGAUAAUAGUUUAAAACCAACUAAAAUAACAAACUUAAAAAUAUUGAUGUUUUACCUUUUCUUUUUUCUUCACAAGAUACUUAAUACGAAGCCAAUCCCCAGCGCAUAUUAGUGCUUCAAUAGAUUCUUCAUUCAAUUUUGAACGAUAUUCAUCAAUUACUCUUCCUCCAGCGCUAAAUGUGGAUUCAGAUGCUACUGUAGAGAUUGGAAUAGCAAGUAUAUCUGCAGCAAUUUUUGAUAAGACCUUAUACUUCAUGGAGUUGCUCCUCCACUACUCCAAUGCACUAAAAGAAUUAUCACCAUAUUCACUAGUAGGUAUAAAAACAGGUUCGUCAAGAUACGCAUCCAAUUCAUAUUUCAUUGGGGGAUUGCUUCAUUUUCUCGCACAAUACUUUUUCAAUGUUGAAAUCUAGUAUGCACAACUAAUUUUGGCAUUUGCGACGAUGAAGGAUUUGUAGCUGUGUUGUUAUUAUCUUCAUUAGAAGAAGUCACUUUCAAAGAGUACUAACGAAAUAAUUCUUGCAAUGAAGUGCGUACCUUAUUCAUAUUCAUUAUGGAAACUUCUUCAGUCUUUAAUAUUAAGGGGAAGCAUACAUUGAUCAUAUGGAAUUUGCACCUAGGAUCAAGAACACUUACAAUGACCAUUAAGAGAUUGCAUUCCCCUCAAUAUCUGUCAAACUUUAUCUUCAUUGGUGCAACUAUUUCUCCCAUAAAGUGAUUUUCAUCAUCUGAUGCUUUAUCAAUUACAUUUUUUACCCUUGCAACUUCGGCAAGAUACAAGUUUGCAGUAGGAUAUUCACUACUAGAAAUCACAUGAGUGGCAAGAUUAAACACAUGAAGAAGUCGACAAACUUUUUCACCUUUCUCCUAGUCCUCAUUUGAAGGUGCAUAACUAUAAUGAGGCUCUUUGUCUUUGUAAGAUGCAAAGACUGUCUUAAACUUUAGAGCACAUGAUAGCAUAUCAAAUGUAGAAUUCCAUCUAGUGGGACAAUCAAUGACAAGCUUCAUUUCUUUCAAAUGCUUUUGUUCAACCACAUCACAAUUUUUUUUAACCUCGAGUCAUUGUGGUUGAUAUACUUCACACUUUUUUGAAUAUUAUAAAUGACAUCAUAGAUCUCCUUAAGGCCAUCUUGCACCAAUAAAUUCAAUAUGUGCGCACAACAUCUAACAUGAAACAAGGCACCAUCAAGAACUAACCUUGAGUCACAUGAUAGAUUCUCUUUGAGGGUCUUCAAGCACGAGUCAUUAUAACUAGCAUUAUCUACCGAAAUUGAAAACACAUUUUUAUCAAUCCUCAAUGAUUUUUAACACUUGAAAAUAACAUCAGCAACAUCAACCCCACGCCUAGGAGCAGACACUUUUACAAAACUCAAAACUCUUUUUUGAAGCUUUCACUCUGUAUCAAUGAAGUGACAAGUGAUGACCAUGUACUCAACAACUUGAUGAUUGAUUUGACUUCCACAUAUCUAUAGUCAAACUAAUUUUUCCUACACUUCUCAACAAUGCCUUCAAGUAUUUCUUCUCUGCUUCAUAUAUUGUUAUGCAAUCCUUUCUUAUUGUUUUAAGGGACAUCUUCUGAAACCCUGGAAUUUCAUAUUGGAAUGCUCACAUCAUACCUUGAGCAUCAACUAUAUUAGAAGGAAGUUCAUGCAUCAUAACCGCAGUAGCAAGUGCUUCACGCAUCUUCUCGUUAAAGUAUCUAGCUCUAGGAGUCAUAAAUGGAUUAGCUGAAUUAGGUCGGAAUAGAAUAACUGGUUGCUUUUUUGAGUAGCCAAUUGCAUCCUUUUUGGUUGGCAAGUUUCCAUAUGUCACAGCAGGUGGCCGAUGUUCCAACCCUUUCCAGUAAUACUUAGUUUCUCUUUGCAGAAUUUGCAUUGAGCUUUCUGAAUGCCUCUAGGAAAUUCAACUUCAUCAAAAUCAUUCCAAGUUGGUGAUGUUUUAGUCCUCUUCCUCUUGCUCUUAAUGGGACAAUCCACUUGGUCACUUGAAUUGACUGAAGCAUUUUCGGCCAUAUGUUGUUGUGAAUUUGAAGUUCCUGUUGUAGUUUUAGUAACAAUGGUAGGAGUAGAUGAAUUUGUACCCUCAAGUGGAUUAGACAUGUUUUACCUAUAAAAAUAUUAAAGGUUUAGCAAAUAGAAAAUUAGAAAUUAAAGUAUAUAGUACAUCAUACUUGUAUGUCACAUAUGUCAGUUUUGGAUUAUCCUUAUAUUCUACUAGAAGGAUAUUUUUAAUUUAUAGUUAACUUAUUAUUAAUUUGAUGAUAUAAGAAAAAAAUUAAACGCAAAAUAGUUUGAUGAUAUAAGGGGGAAAAUUGAAGAUCUCUAAACACAGAUAUUAGGUGUAACAAAUUAAAUAAAUAAGGCAUAUAAGAGGCACAAAGAUCAUAUAAUAAUCAUGAUAGCUCCAAUCUUAUAAAGCACAAAGAUCAUAUAGUAAUAACCAAGAAGUACCCCACAAGCUAUUAGCUAAAUAACGUUAACCAUAUACAUCUCAAAGUGGAGAAUGACCUUCAAACACUAAAAGAGCAUUUUGACAAAAUGUAUCAUAUUACAGUAUUGAAAUAUGCUCUUCAGGACAAGUAAAAGUUGCACCCUAAGCCUUAUAAUAUCAUAUAAGCCUAAUUGCAUCAAAUAAUUCAUGCUAGUGAAGGUGUGUAUCAACAUUAAUCUACAUUGACUCGUCAAUUUUAAUGUUUAAUGUAAAAGUAACAUAUUUAGGUCCGAGUUGAGUAAUAGUAAUUGCAAGUUACAGAACACAAAAAUACCAAGCUCAAAUGAUAAACGUAUAAGAUUAGAUGGUUCAUUAAUUGAAGAACUAGCUAUUGCCCAUAGAUAUACUUUUAUCCUCAGAAGCAGAAACUUGAAUAUUAAAAAAGUAACUCACAUCUUCAAUAUGGUGACACAACAAAAUGUAAAAUAUGAGAAGAAGCUAUGACACAUAAUUAUAUGAAGCAUCGGAUAAGGUAGAGAAAUUAUCGAAAUGUGGUUCUAUCUUCUAUGCUUUCAGAUGAGAAGAUGACAAUAAGAUUUUGAAUGUGAGGCAAGGUAGAUUAGGAUUAUUUUGGGACUUUCAUUUUAGGGUUAAUGUUCCUGCAAUUUCAAGUUAUAACUUAGUGAACUAAAAUUACAUAAUUUUAUGGGUAGGGUUAUGUACUUAAGCCCAAGUCUCAAAGAUUGAAUGUCCAAUUAUUAAAUUGCCCAAUAUCUAAGUUUUAGUGGAUUUACAUAAAAAAAUUAUUAUUAUUUUGUACAUAUUAUAAAAUAAUUAAUAUAAAUAUAUUAUAACAUUAUAUAGGCUGAUUUGUUAGGCUUAAUAGGCUUUUUAAAAAGUUUGGGUCUGACCUAUUUAGGUUAAAUAGGCUUUUGGAGAAGCCUAAGCCGGACCUAUUUACUAAAAAGGCUUGACUUGGCUAUAGGUUAGGUACUAGGCCCCUAAUAGACGGCCUGACUGUUUUCACCCUUAGUCAUACCCAAGCUAUGAUGUUAAGAAGUAUUUUAUCAAUACUCUGCCCAUGGUAAUGUAGAAACCCAUGUCUUGAAAUGUGAAGCACCACAAGUACAUUUCCAGACAUUUGUUAAGCACCUUCAUUUGGCCAUCAAAUUGUGGAUGAUAGGUGGAGCUCAUUGCUAAUGUGGUGCCUUGCAGCUUGAACAAUUUUUGCAAGAACUUACUAAUGGAAACUUUAUCUCUAUGAGACACAAUAGAAUUUGGCAUACCAUAUAAUAUGACUAUAGAGUCCAUGAAGAUUUCAGUAACUUGCAUGCUUGUAUAAUCAGAUUUUAGUGGGUGGAAAUGGCCAUACUUUGAUAAUAUGUCAAUCACCACAAAAAUCAUCAUGUAACCUCUUGAUGAAGGCAAUCCCAUUAUAAAGUCCAUUGCUAUCUUACCAAAUUUGAUUAAGAAUGGGCAUUGGUUGUAAUAGCCCACUAGGAUGUGAUGUCAAGUGUUUUGCUUGCUAUCAAAUGCUGCAAUUUUGGACGAAGUGUUGAAUAUCUUGCUUCAUAUUAGGCCAAUAAAAUUUAGAUUUAACUCGAGAAGUGGUUCUAGCAAUUCCCAAGUGUCCACCAAUGGGAGAGUUGUGAUACUCCUUCAAUAUUUUUUGUGUGAGCUCAGGCUUUGAUGAGAUGACUAAUUUGCCUUUCCAAUAAAGCAAUUGGUCCCUGUAUGUAAAAGGAUCCAUAAGUUGUGGAUUGUGUUUGCAUUUUUUCAAUUGUUGUGCCCAUUUGUCAUAUGCAUAUAAGCUUGCCUUAGUUCUUGUAAAAACAACGGUAUUGGGGAAUACUAAGGCAUGUAACAAGACCGAGACAGAGAAUCGGGAUGAAUGUUUUCUUUUCCUGGUUUAUAUUCAAUUUUGAAGUCAUAUCCCGGAAAUUUGUGAAGCCAGUUUUGUUGCUCUGGAGUUUGAAUAGUUUGAUCAGUCAAAUGUCUUAAACUUUUUUUUUUGUCUUAAUAAUAAAAUGAUGGCCUAAUAGAUAAUGUCUGAAUUUAGCCAAGGCUUCUGUAAUAGCAUACAACUCUCUGCAAUAUGCUGACUAUUUCUACAUUCUCGGAUUUAACUUCUUGGAAAAAUAAGCAAUAGGGUGCUUGUUUUGGCUCAAAACUGCCCCCAUACCAGUCACUGAAGCAUCUGUUUCCAGUGUGAAUGGUUACUGAAAAUUUGGCAAUGCUAAAACUGGUGCAGUUGUUACCACAUGUUUUAAAGCAUUGAAGGCAAUUUGUGUUUCUACAGUCCAUGCAAAAGCAUCUUUCUUCAGUAAAUUAGUCAAAGGAUUAGCUACAGAGACAUAAUUUUGGAUGAAUUUCCUAUAAUAGCCUGUCAUGCCCAAAAAUCCUCUAAGUUUUUUGAUGUUAAAGGGUUCUGGCCACUGUAAUAUAGCUUGCACUUUAACCAUAUCCAUAGCCACACCUUGGUUAGAAACUGUGUGGCCCAAAUAAUCUAGUUGGUGUGUGCCAAAAGAACAUUUUGCUAAUAUUACAUACAAAAUAUUGGACUGCAGUGUAUGCCAAACUGCUUCUACAUAUUGCAAAUGAGAUGACCAGCUUGGGUAUAGACCAAUAUGUUAUCAAAAAAUAUCAGGACACAUUUCCUUACCAAUCUUUGAAACACUUGAUUCAUUAAUUGUUGAAAAGUAGCUGGAGCAUUAGUUAGGCCAAAUGACAUGACCAACCAUUCAUAAUGUCCUUGAUGAGUUCUAACGACAGUCUUGUAUCUAUCUUCAGGUUUAACUAAGAUUUGAUGGUACCCAGACCUCAAGUCCAACUUAGAGAAAACUUUAGCACCAAAUAAUUCAUCUAAUAAUUCAUCAACAAUUGGCAUAGGGAAACUGUCCUUAAUUGUAAUGGCAUUUAAUGCUCUAUAGUCUGUGCAAAACCUCUAAGACCCAUAUUUCUUCUUUACUAAGAGAAUAGGCGAGGAGAAUGGACUAGUGCUAGGUUGUAUAAUACGCUCUUGCAACAUUUCUUGCGCCAUUUUUUCAAUCUCUGUUUUCUGGCUAUGAGCAUACCUAUAAGGUUUAACCUUGACUAGGUGGCUUCCUUCCAUCAAGGUUAUAGCAUGGUUUUGGCAUCUUUGAGGAGGCAGGCCUAUUGGUUUGUUAAAUACAUCCUUGUAUGUAGAAAGUAGCAAUGUUAAUUCUGGUGUCAAGUUCUGUGUAAGUGCAAGAAAAUCAUCAUAGUUUACAUUAUGGUCUUAUAAUUGCACUACAAACAGUACAUCAAUUGCAUUUGUGUGGUGCAUUCUUUUGAUGCGAUUAAAUUGUGUUUCUUGUGGAAGUGAUGGUUUAUUUCCCUAGAUAGUGAUAAAUUUGCCAUCCAACAAGAAUUUGAAAGCUAAGGAACUGUAAUCAGCAACAUGAGGUCUAAGUGUUGCUGACCAGACUGCUCCUAGAAUCAAAUAAGCCUCUGCCAUAGGUAGUAAGUACACUAGGACCUGCAAUUUAUAGCCCUGAACUUCAACUAGUAAGUCAGGAAUGAUGCCCUCAACAGCCAUAGAGUGGCCAUUGCCAACCAUGACCUGAAAUCUAGGUGCAGGUUCCACCAUUAAAUUCAGAAAUUGGGCAAUCCGUGGUUGUAGAAAAUUAUCUGAACUUCCACUGUCUAGGAGUAUCUAGACAGGAUAACCAUUGAUCUUGCCUUGAAACCUUAAAGUUCCCAAUCCACUUAUGCCUUUUAGUGCAUUAAAGGAUAAGUGGUGAUCAACAUUUGUGUGUAAUGUUGAUGUGUCAACCAGUUCUAACUCUUCAUGGUGCUCCACUAGUACAGGUUCAUCCUCUGAUUACAAAAUCAUGAAGUGUCUAUUAGGACAUCUAUGUUUGGGAGUGAAUUUUUCAUCACACAUGUAGCAUAGUCUUUUUUCUCUGUGAAUUUGCAUUUCUGUUUGAGUCAUUUUUUUGAUUGGGUGGGUUGAGGUGUUGCGGAAAUUUUGCUAAGGUGUUGGGAGAAGUGGUGGUUGAGAGUUGUGAAUUUUUGGAUAGGGUGGGUUAGUGUAUGUUGGGAAUGGUUUGUAAGUGGAUUUUGGUUUGGGGCUGUACUUUUCCUCAUACAAUUUGGCUAGUGCUACAGCUUUCAAAAGGGUCAAAGGAUUCUGAGCUACUACAUCUCAUUUAAUCUCAGGUUUAAGACCACUGAUAAAGCAAUCUAAGAUAACAUCAUUGCUCACCCCAUAAACUCUGUUGGCCAAUGCCAUGAACUCCACAUAAUAGUCAUUAACAGGGGUGUGUUGUGUUAAUUUGAAUAGAUUAGAUUUAUGAUAAUAACAAGGUGAUGGGCAAACUCAAAUUCUAGAGCCUUGGUGAAUGAUUUCCAAGUCUGAAAAGGUUGAGUGCGAGUAACCAUUUGGAACCAAGGAACCACGUCCUUGUCCAGGUGAAUGGUAGCAAUGGCAAUUCUAUGUUCAUCAGGUGUAUCAUAGAAAUCAAAAAAAUUGUUCUGCUUUAAAGAUCCAUUGUAAUACUUCAUGACCAUCAAAUCAAACUUAGGAAAUUCAACUUUGACAUUCCUUACUUGAAAUGGUUGUUUAGUGCAGGUUGGAGGGUCAACUUGAGGCUGAGAGAUUCCUGUGUGGUGAUGCUUGAUAAUCUCCUUGAGCUAACAAUGUAUUUCCAAUCUCUAAUGUCUGUGCUCAUCUCUUUCAUACAAGUAUUAUUAGCCAUUGUUGGAAGGAAUGAAAACACCAAUGUAAUAAUAAUGUUACUAUAGACACAAAAAGAUAGAAAAAAAUGAACACUGCUUAGAAUGAGAGUAACAACUUCUGCACUUUUAUUUAAUAUUAAGGACUCUAGUACAUACUACUAGAUCCAUGAGUACAACAAAAUAUUUUUAAUAAGGAAAAUAGGUAUAAUUGUAGUAUAGAAGGAAGGAGAUGAGAGAAGAAUAUUGAGAAUAGAAGGGAGAUGAGAAGUGAUCAGAGGAAGAAAAGAGGGUUCUGCAUCAUUCAUGCCCAAUUUCCACUUUCUUUUCUCCUUAUAUUCUUUUUUAUGUUACUGCCUUCACACAAAUUCCUUCAGCGGAGAAUUUGGUUUCUUUUCACGUGAGAUUGCCAUAUGCAUUGGCUCUAAUAACUUUUAUCUUUUUCUUCUUUUGGUAGUAUUCUCCCUCCUAGCAUGUUGCAUCAUUACAUUUCCUUGGAAAUUGGAAUCACACCCCAAAAGUAUAUUUAAAAAGCAUUCCUUAUACCAAAUAUUAGAUACAAAUCUUUUCACCAAUAUACUUCGAGUAAAACUUACUUCGACAACUCACCACCACGUCUUCCAUUUUAUUUCUUGUGUUGUUUAGUCAUUUUCUUUUAUCUUAAAACAUCUAAUUUCUAUUUUCCUUUUGACUAUUGUUUGACAGAUUAUUUAACCCUUUGUUAAAAUCUUACCAGGCCACUUUCAGGAAUGAAAAUCAGAUAACCAUUUGAUGUUUUUAUCCAAUUAAAAAGUGUCACUUAAUUAAAAAAGAAAAUUUAUAAAAACAUAAACUAAUAUUUUUGUAUUACUUGUUAAAAUUUGAUUGACAAGGGAAAUAAAAACAUGAUUUUUGGAGAAAUGUGAUAUUUGUUCAAAUUUCACAUACAUGAAAAUCCAAAGAGAGUUGGACAUACUCCCAAAUAUUAAAUCUAGAAUAUCACCCAUUAAGUAUUGGAAAAUACUUUGAUAAAAAUUUACCAUUCAUUUCAAUAUUGCAAGUCAAAUAAUCUAAUAAGCAAAUAUAUGACCCACAACAAUCGAGUUCUUGAUUAAACUCCAUCAUCAAUGUACAAAGAAGAGAUAAAAAAAUAAUUGAAUCUCAAUAUUAAAUUCACAAAUGUAUAUUACACCAUUCAUAACACAAAAUAACAUGAAAAUAAUUCAUGGCCACCCUACCAAUAAUUUAGGGUCCUUUAACUAAUUUCUCAAUUACAUGGCCUAAGCUUGAAACUUAAAAGAUAUACAUAUAUAUAGUAGAGUUAACCUUGAUUAACUUUUAAAGAUUGGUGAUUGAGGAACUUUUGAUGAAGGAGAGGGUUCCCCUUCAGAUGGUAAAUCCGAGAUGAAAGCCAGCAUCCUUCGAAUACUUACCGAUCGCGCAGGCUUGAAGCUGUUCGAUCUCUUCAUGUUCUUGGAGAAUAUGUUUGAUGAAUUGGAAAGGAUAAGGUACACUAAACCUUGGACUAGGAUGAACAUGGCCACCUUAAUCAACAUGUCACUUAAGAUGCUUUCCAUUUAAUCUAAGUUUUGUAUAUUAGUAUACAAAUAUAUGGAAUCUCUUGGGUUGUAAGGAAGCAAGAAUAUAAGAAAAGAAUUGAUGGGUUGAUGAUGAAUGAAUUGUA
Molecule: long non-coding RNA, 14121 nt
Filed under: Lupinus angustifolius (narrow-leaved blue lupine)
Lineage: Eukaryota; Viridiplantae; Streptophyta; Magnoliopsida; Fabales; Fabaceae
Description: long non-coding RNA (LANG_LNC000855)
Source: RNAcentral